This is a long non-coding RNA of Gallus gallus (chicken), 1084 nucleotides long. RefSeq lists it as uncharacterized. The transcript is spliced from 3 exons. The record is from RefSeq and is a predicted model, not a curated record. Lineage: Eukaryota; Metazoa; Chordata; Aves; Galliformes; Phasianidae.
UCACAGCCUAGGAGGAAAAGGGGCAGAAGUUGGAAGCAGCAGAUCAUUGCCAUUCAGAUCUCAAUAUUUGGCACUUCUACUGUGGCAAGGAAUGGAUCAAACGUGACUUGUGCCACAGGAUUUCAGGUCCUUCCAAGACACAAACUGAUGCUUUUAUCUCAGCUCUAGGCAAACAUCUGUCCUCAUCACUAAUUAAAAGACAGAGAUAAUGAGCAGGCACAAGCUGUUGCCCCCAGCCCUUCUCUGGCAGGGUCAUACCCUCCUGGCACGUCCCAGUCUGCGACUCAUCUCACUCAUUGGCACAUCAGCCCAUCACCUCGCACAGACCUCCUUCAGAAUGUGUGAAACGCACUGAAGUAACAACAGAGAGCCUCUGUGCAUCUCCUCCAGGCCGAGCACUUCACAGCUAUUAUCUACUCAUCUCCCUCAGGUUGAUCAGGGCACGGGUAUCGUGUCCUGUUUCCAAAGCAUCCACAAAGAGCUUGGAAAUCCUCUCCCCAAACUCCACGUUGUCGCUGCAGCCUCCCCAGACCCAGCCUCGGCCACCUGCAAGGCAGACACAGACGGUAAGAACAGAACUGCCUCACCGGGCUGAGUUCUGCCCCAGGACAUGCACUGCAGUGGGGCUGGGGUGAUGGCAGCCCAGCUCACUGCUGGACAGUCACAGCAGGAUGCAUGUCAGCAUCUUACCUACACGCCCGUUCCUGGAGUCAUCGCAGCCGCAGCUCUCGAAGUCUCCUAAGCUGCAGUUCCUGGUCAGGGUGUACAUAACACCAGCGGAGCUGAUGGCGUGCACAAAGGAUGUCUCUCUGGUAGCUGGAGAAGAAGGGAGAAAAGCUGUCACGCACAAACAUACACUCCAGUCCUUGUUUAUUGGAAAGGAAGCUCUCUUGUGAAGCCAUCACCAUUCUGAAGGCGCAAGAAGGAGAUAACAAAACAGUCUAUGCAAAAGGUCCUGUCAUCAGAAAGUUAUUCACCGACCUGAAACAAAGAAAGGAAAAUGAGACGCGCCGUUUAACACAGGCUGAAGAGCAUCCCCCCACACACCCCGAAUCCUACCAUGCUGCUGCAUUGAGAAUAGCAC